Molecule: ribosomal RNA, 450 nt
Filed under: uncultured bacterium
Lineage: Bacteria
Description: bacterial SSU rRNA
Rfam family: Bacterial small subunit ribosomal RNA
Source: RNAcentral
GUGGGGAAUAUUGGACAAUGGGCGAAAGCCUGAUCCAGCCAUGCCGCGUGUGUGAAGAAGGUCUUCGGAUUGUAAAGCACUUUAAGUUGGGAGGAAGGGCAGUAAGUUAAUACCUUGCUGUUUUGACGUUACCAACAGAAUAAGCACCGGCUAACUUCGUGCCAGCAGCCGCGGUAAUACGAAGGGUGCAAGCGUUAAUCGGAAUUACUGGGCGUAAAGCGCGCGUAGGUGGUUCAGCAAGUUGGAGGUGGAAACCCCGGGCUCAACCUGGGAACUGACUCCAAAACUACUGAGCUAGAGUACGGUAGAGGGUAGUGGAAUGUCCUGUGUAGCGGUGAAAUGCGUAGAUAUAGGAAGGAACACCAGUGGCGAAGGCGACUACCUGGACUGAUACUGACACUGAGGUGCGAAAGCGUGGGGAGCAAACAGGAUUAGAAACCCUGGUAGUCC